This 220-nucleotide ribosomal RNA is filed under the name uncultured Entrophospora. Its description in RNAcentral is "uncultured Claroideoglomus partial small subunit ribosomal RNA". It matches the Rfam family "Eukaryotic small subunit ribosomal RNA", at positions 591 to 811 of the family's 1831-position model. The record is from RNAcentral. Lineage: Eukaryota; Fungi; Glomeromycota; Glomeromycetes; Entrophosporales; Entrophosporaceae.
CCAAUAGCGUAUAUUAAAGUUGUUGCAGUUAAAAAGCUCGUAGUUGAAUUUCGGGAUUGACACAUCGGUCGUGCCUUAAGGGGUAUGAACUGGUGUAGUCAAUUUCUCACCUUCUGGAGAACCGUGAUGCCCUUAAUUGGGUGUCGCGGGGAACCAGGACCUUUACUUUGAAAAAAUUAGAGUGUUUAAAGCAGGCAUUUUGCUUGAAUACAUUAGCAUG